UGGGGAAUAUUGGACAAUGGGCGCAAGCCUGAUCCAGCCAUGCCGCGUGUGUGAAGAAGGCCUUUUGGUUGUAAAGCACUUUAAGCGAGGAGGAGGCUACCUGUAUUAAAUACUAUAGGAUAGUGGACGUUACUCGCAGAAUAAGCACCGGCUAACUCUGUGCCAGCAGCCGCGGUAAUACAGAGGGUGCGAGCGUUAAUCGGAAUUACUGGGCGUAAAGCGCGCGUAGGCAGUUUGUUAAGUCGGAUGUGAAAUCCCCGGGCUCAACCUGGGAAUUGCAUUCGAUACUGGCAAGCUAGAGUAUGGGAGAGGAAGGUAGAAUUCCAGGUGUAGCGGUGAAAUGCGUAGAGAUCUGGAGGAAUACCGAUGGCGAAGGCAGCCUUCUGGCCUAAUACUGACGCUGAGGUGCG
Molecule: ribosomal RNA, 410 nt
Filed under: uncultured bacterium
Lineage: Bacteria
Description: partial 16S ribosomal RNA
Rfam family: Bacterial small subunit ribosomal RNA
Source: RNAcentral